This 73-nucleotide transfer RNA is filed under the name Candidatus Ryanbacteria bacterium RIFCSPLOWO2_02_FULL_45_11c. Its description in RNAcentral is "tRNA-Lys". It matches the Rfam family "tRNA". Rfam says of the family: Transfer RNA (tRNA) molecules are approximately 80 nucleotides in length. Lineage: Bacteria; Candidatus Ryaniibacteriota. The record is from RNAcentral.
CCGCUCGUAGCUCAGUUGGUAGAGCAGCUCCCUUUUAAGGAGACGGUCGCAGGUUCGAUCCCUGCCGAGCGGA